AGUGAACGCUGGCGGUAGGCCUAACACAUGCAAGUCGAACGGCAGCACAGGAGAGCUUGCUCGCUGGGUGGCGAGUGGCGGACGGGUGAGGAAUACAUCGGAAUCUGCCCAGUCGUGGAGGAUAACGUAGGGAAACUUACGCUAAUACCGCAUACGACCUUCGGGAGAAAGAGGGGGAUCGCAAGACCUCUCGCGAGUGGAUGAGCCGAUGUCGGAUUAGCUAGUUGGCGGGGUAAAGGCCCACCAAGGCGACGAUCCGUAGCUGGUCUGAGAGGAUGAUCAGCCACACUGGAACUGAGACACGGUCCAGACUCCUACGGGAGGCAGCAGUGGGGAAUAUUGGACAAUGGGCGCAAGCCUGAUCCAGCCAUACCGCGUGGGUGAAGAAGGCCUUCGGGUUGUAAAGCCCUUUUGUUGGGAAAGAAAUCUUUCAGGCUAAUACCCUGGGAGGAUGACGGUACCCAAAGAAUAAGCACCGGCUAACUUCGUG
RNAcentral lists this ribosomal RNA (490 nucleotides) under uncultured bacterium. RNAcentral's name for it is "partial 16S ribosomal RNA". It matches the Rfam family "Bacterial small subunit ribosomal RNA", at positions 29 to 507 of the family's 1533-position model. The record is from RNAcentral.